Molecule: long non-coding RNA, 653 nt
Organism: Magnolia sinica
Lineage: Eukaryota; Viridiplantae; Streptophyta; Magnoliopsida; Magnoliales; Magnoliaceae
Exons: 5
Source: RefSeq, a predicted model, not a curated record
UCACACAGUAUAAAAUGAUUUGUGCUUGAGAUGAGCGGAGAAAUCUCAGUAUCUUCCGUCUUCAGAGAUCUCUUGCUUUCGCCACUUUUCUCUUCUAAAAAUCCAAUCGAGAAGCUUUCCAACUGCGAUUAUUCCUAUUGCAUGGCAGCCAAUUUGCAGAUGCGAGGAAUCGCGAGCUUUGGGAAGCGAUUCGUCGAACGAAGCUGGGUCGGUAGCUUCCGAGAUCCUGCUGCAGCUAAGAUUUCUGCUUUCAGGGGCCUAUUGUUACCACAAUCCGAGCUUUACUGACACCUCAUCCAACGAAGGAACUUCGAGUAAAGGAUUUCGAUGUUCGAGAGUUUGCUAUAUCAAUUGCUGGCAGAUUGUCUGAAUAGAAUCCAACAUAUGUUCUGCCUGCACUUCAUUGCCAUCUCAUACAAUUGUUGAUGCAUCUUGAGCAAAGGCACUUGUGGUAAAGGCACCGAGCCAAAUGCUAAUACUGGUGUUGUCACUGGAGUUCUUGCAACUGUUGGGGAGCUUGCUAGGGUGGGAGGUUUUAGAAUGAAGCAAUAUCUUGGUGAACUAAUGCCAGUAAUUGUUGAAGCCCUCUUGGAUGGAGCUGUUGUUAUAAAGCAUGAAGUGGCUGUCGCAACUCUUGGUUAAGUGGUACAGAG